UACAAUGCAUCUCAUUACUUGUGAAAAGUUACAAUUUAAGAUAUAAGAUACAUUCAUCUAGAAGUAUUGACAGCUAUAUCUAGAAAUGCCUCUCGUCUUUUCUUAUCUAGUCUCUAGUGCCGCGUUCAAUCAGCCAAUUCUAGUGGAACUAUGUAUUAGUAGUGAAAAUUUCAAAAAAAAUCUUCACAAAGUUUGAUAUCUAUACUAUAGCAAGUGGUUGUUGACGUAAAUAAUGACUUUUGCUAAAGAUAUUGGAAAGGAGAAAACAAAGUAUCAAGCAUUCAUGACAAAAAACCAUGAGCUUCCAAGUUCCAGCUAUCUAAAU
RNAcentral lists this long non-coding RNA (325 nucleotides) under Coffea arabica (coffee). RNAcentral's name for it is "long non-coding RNA (CARA_LNC007919)". Lineage: Eukaryota; Viridiplantae; Streptophyta; Magnoliopsida; Gentianales; Rubiaceae. The record is from RNAcentral.